RNAcentral lists this ribosomal RNA (426 nucleotides) under uncultured bacterium. RNAcentral's name for it is "bacterial SSU rRNA". It matches the Rfam family "Bacterial small subunit ribosomal RNA", at positions 355 to 774 of the family's 1533-position model. The record is from RNAcentral.
UCGAGAAUUUUUCACAAUGGGCGAAAGCCUGAUGGAGCGACGCCGCGUGGGGGAUGAAUGGCUUCGGCCCGUAAACCCCUGUCAUUCGCGAGCAAUGCCUUCCCGAUAAUACCGGGACGGUUGAUCGUAGCGAAAGAGGAAGGGACGGCUAACUCUGUGCCAGCAGCCGCGGUAAUACAGAGGUCCCAAGCGUUGUUCGGAUUCACUGGGCGUAAAGGGUGCGUAGGUGGUGAGGUAAGUUCGAUGUGAAAUCUCCGGGCUCAACCCGGAAAAGGCAUUGAAUACUAUCUUGCUCGAGGUUUGGAGGGGGGACUGGAAUUCUCGGUGUAGCAGUGAAAUGCGUAGAUAUCGAGAGGAACACCGGUGGCGAAGGCGAGUCCCUGGACAACCCCUGACACUGAGGCACGAAAGCUAGGGGAGCAAACA